UUUAUGAGGAGAUUCAGCACAGACACAAUCACUUCACUCAGAGGGGGAGUCUCAUCUCUGAAGAACUGCAUUCUGGGUAUGAAGAUGCUGAUGAGCUUCUCUCAGCAAAAGAGUUCAAUACUGCAUAUUAUGAUGAUGUCACCAAUGGCAGUGGCCUAAAAGAAGAGAUGAUGAAGGAAAUCACACCGGGAUACUAUGAUGAUGUCAUCACUGAUGGACUGAAACCAGAUCGUGAGAGAGGUGUCAC
Carassius auratus (goldfish) is the source of this 247-nucleotide long non-coding RNA. RefSeq lists it as uncharacterized. The transcript is spliced from 4 exons. The record is from RefSeq and is a predicted model, not a curated record. NCBI's taxonomy places the organism in Eukaryota, Metazoa, Chordata, Actinopteri, Cypriniformes, Cyprinidae.